NNNNNNNNNNNNNNNNNNNNNNNNNNNNNNNNNNNNNNNNNNNNNNNNNNNNNNNNNNNNNNCACCCCGCUCCUGCCCAGCACCCUGCACCGGCCGGCUGCGGAUCAGGUGCUGCCGCGCAGGGUUGCACCAGGCCCRCGUCGGCCCCGCUGCAAGCCGGAGCCUGAGCCUGGGCAAGACGAUUCGCGUCCCCGGCUGCACCGGUGCCCGGCAGCCCCCGCGCCGGAUGUGAGCUGGGUGCUGGGCACGCCGUGCAGCCAGUGCGGAGGUGGCCGUGGGGGCCGGGGCAGCACCCCCAGCACCCCGAGCUGCGCCCUGCCAGCCGGGGUGAAUUUCCACGGCGCUGAGCUAAUGAAUGAAAAGGGCCGAGCGUCGAGGCUCGCUCGGAGCCGGGCCCGGAAAGCUGCCUCCGGGCGAAGGGUGUGCUGAAUUUAUCAUUGCCGCAUGCCAAGGGCCGGAUCCUGCCAGGAGAGCCGCCGGGCUCGCGUGGGAGCAGAGCUGCCCCACGGGUUUGGGCGCUUCCCCCCACUGGCAGGCAAGUCCCGGCGGGGCCCAGGGCCGCGCAGCAACUCCCCGGAGGUGCCCGGGGCCAUGGGACAGCGGGAUGGCGCCCGCCGGCCGGGCGCGGGGCAUCCCGGCGAGGCGGCGGCGCGCGGCUUGCCGUGUGUCAAGGAUUCCUCCCGGGCGGGGGAAAUGGAAACCAGUUUCUUCCAAUCUCUUAUCACCCGGCAGCCAUGUGAGGAAAUGAGUUAUAAAGUCCAGCAGGCCUGUUUCCUCCCGCGCCGCRCGGGGGGAGCACACUGCGGGGUGCCCGGCGCACCGCGUGCCCGGCAUGCCGCCGCUUCGCCCCCCGCGUGCUCCGCUCGGCAUCCGUGCAGGGCACCGGGUGCUCCCGCAUGCUCCRGCACUCGGGGCCACUCCGUGCACUGCUGUGCACCCCGCUGGGGUGCCGAGCCAGGGGGAGGCAAAGCCAGCAAAUGGGCUCAGCUCCAUUGCGGGAUUCCUGGCGGGCGGGUGGGAUGUGGGGAGCCUUCCUGGCUCUCCCUCCCCCCCCCCAGCGCAGCGUGCUGUUCCCGCAGCGCCCCGUGGGCAGCGUGCGCGGGCACAGCCGCCGCCGCGCCGGCUGCCAAGGCCCUGCCAUCUGCGCGCGCGGAGCCGCCAGGCCGGGCUGCACGCUGCGGCUCCCCGACACCUCCCCGACGGUGCGGCACGGCGCCGGUGCCCUGCGGCGGGGUGCAGCCGGCGUGCCGGCACCCCUGGCCGCCCUUUCUGCUGGGGCAGGAAGGAAGAGCGGGGCGGGCUGGCUGCACCGCCGCCUGCCAGGCUUCCUCCGUGGGGAUAACGGGAAAGCGCCG
RNAcentral lists this long non-coding RNA (1355 nucleotides) under Apteryx haastii (Great spotted kiwi). Its description in RNAcentral is "lncRNA (ENSAHAG00000008440.1)". Lineage: Eukaryota; Metazoa; Chordata; Aves; Apterygiformes; Apterygidae. The record is from RNAcentral.